This 4137-nucleotide long non-coding RNA is filed under the name Homo sapiens (human). RNAcentral's name for it is "HSALNT0202119". Lineage: Eukaryota; Metazoa; Chordata; Mammalia; Primates; Hominidae. The record is from RNAcentral.
GUAGGUUUUCUUGCAAUUUUUUGUGGUAAGAUAAAAUUUAUAUCAUUUUAACGAUUUUUAAGUGUACAGUUCAAUGGCAUUAAGUAUAUUCAUAUGGUGUAACUUGGGUAGUCCAUUUUGCACACACUUUGUAUGGAACUUUUUAUGCUACUCUCAUUUAUAAAUCCUCUAGAAGCUGACCAACAAGACUUGCCUUAGAAUUAAUUCUAGCAAACAAUGGACAUUGUUGUCCCAAUAUAUUAUGAAAUGAACAUAUCACUAAAGAGGGUGACAUAAACACUGACCAAGGUGGAUUUAGCAAAAAUUAUUAAUUUUUAAUUAACUAUAUUUAUUUUCCAAAAUCAUUAGACCAACAAUUACAUAUAGUUUUUCUCUAUUCAUUCAGUGCACUCAAUAAAUGUGUUUAGCACCUAUUAUGUGACAGGAACUGUUCUGCAUACUGAGGAAGACAAGCAAUAAACAAAUGAAUAAUUAAGAGAGCAAAGUAAUUGCAGAGCAUUAUACAUGCUAGUAAGAAAAUAAACCAGGCCAGAAGCAGUGGCUCAAGCCUGUAAUCCCAGCACUUUGGGAGGCCAAGGCGGGCAGAUCACUUGAGCUCAGGAGUUCAAGACCAGCCUGGGCAACAUGGUGAAACUCCAUCUCUACUAAAAAUACAAAAAAUUAUCCAGGCAUGGUGGCAUGCACCUGUAGUCCCAGCUAUUCAGGAGGCUGAAGUGGGAGAAUUGCUUGAAUCCCGGAGGUGGAGAUUGCAGUGAGCCAAGAUCAUGCCACUGCACUCCAGCCUAGGUGACAGAGCGAGACUCCGUCUAAAAAAAGAAAAGAAAAGAAAACAAAAAAGAAACCAGGAACCAAGGUGGUGUGAUAAGGUGAUAAGGUGUGAUUGUGGCUGGGGGUCUACUCUAGCUAGGAUGUUUGCAGAAAACCCCUCGUAGAGGACCUGAAUAAGGAGAGAGGAAGUGCACCACAGAGAAAAGUCAGGGCAACAGAGGAGGCUGGCAUCUCACAGGGCCUUGCAGGGCACCCUAAGGAGGGCCAUAGGAGCCACAGGGAUGUGAUCUUAUUUCUUUUCUAUUUUCAUUAAAAAAAUUUUUUUUUAGCAGGGACAGGGUCUUGCUAUGUUGCCCAGGCUAUCUCGAACUCCUGGCUUCACACAAUCCUCCCACCUUGGCCAUCCAAAGUGCUGGGAUUACAGGGGUGAGCCAGUGCGUCCAGCCUCUUUUUAAAAAUGAGAUCAUUGGUUGCUGUUUGGACAAUGGACUUAGGAGGUUGAAUUAACAAAAAUCAAUUAUGGCUUAAAAUUCGAAAUUAUAAAAAAUAAAAAUUUCCUUUUUAUAUUGGAUUAAAAGCCAGCUGAAUAUCCCACUGAAAAUUAACAGAAAUUUGAACUUAACUUUACCUUUUCAAAAUUGAUCUCUUUUAUGACACAGUGCUUGCUAUCUGAUUUCCCUUUAGCUAAGUAUGCUUUCCCGAAGGCACCUUGCCCGAUGGCCUUAAUCACAUCGUACUUAUCCAUGGUCUCCAAUGGGCUGAGUUUCCUGGAAUUAGAGUAAUGUAAAUUUAUCACACACGUCUCAUAAAGACUAACAAAGUCAGAAAACUGAUGACUAAAGUGUAAAAGAACUCACUUAGCUAAAACUUUCCUCCCAGCCUUGCCAAGACAGAGACAAAUAACUUUCUUUGUGGCCACAGAUAACUGAAAUGAGACAGAGUUUCUUGGUCAGACACGGGUCAUAGCUCAGCUUUGAUACACUUUUGCCCUGUAUUCUCGGGAAUGCAACUACAUGUAAAUCAAGGCUUGAUUGCACUUCGGUUUGGAGGUUUACCAAGAAUUGUUCACCAUUUGGGAAAACCACGCGCUUCACUGGCCACGCUGCUCCUGGUCCCGGAGACCCAACAAUCUGCAUUUGCUGCCGUCACGUUCAGGCGACUCCCCAGGCGCGGCUACUGGCUACUUCUCUACAUUUUCCAAGGGUAGUAGUGCCAAGCAUUUUCAGAUUGAAAUAUGUACUUUCUUACUUAUUGCUUUCCUUCUAUUUCCUCUUUAUGCUACAGUUAGGGCAUAAUACAGUUUUGUUGUUGUUGUUAAUGGGGUGAGCAGGGGGCUUGUUUUCGAAUAAUUUUACGUCAGGGUGGGAAGUCGGUACUGGGUUGCAGGGGGCUGGGAACCAGCUCCGCAGCCAGGAGAGGCUGCAGACACCGGAGGAUCGGGUUCUGAGAGAGACGCAUACGGACUUGGGGCCGGGGGUGACUCGCCGGGAACUGAGGGCCCGCGACCCUCCCGCCCAAGUGGCACCAAAGGGUGGAAGCCCCCAAAUUAGGAAAAUUCCUUCUCCCCUAGGGCCGCCCCUGGAAGCGGCCGCGGGUGAGUGGCAAGACGCUUACCCGUACCCGACCUCCGCGUGUGGAGCGUUGCCAUAGAGACCGACGCGCCCUGGACGCUACACCCACACAGCCCAGGACGCUAGGCCUUUUCUGGGCCGCCCCCGCCGCCCCAGGCCGAAACUCCAUCCCUUUCCCCCACCCUGCCGAGCUCCCGAAGCCCUGUGGCGGCUCCGGGCAAGAACUAAGGGCGGCCCCUGCAAGCGUACCUGCUCCGCCGGCUCCGCGGGGCCAACGAAGCGUCCCGGAAGGAUCCGGGUUCCCGGGGCCGCUGCGCCUCCCUGCGGCCGGGGCGGAGCCGCGCAAGGAAACGCGGGCGGGGCGCGGGUCUGGAAUGGCCUGGGGACCAGUCCACCUCGAGGCAGGGUCAGGCGCCAGGGAGUUUGGAGACCCGGCAGAGUCACCCCGCAACCGUCCCGUUGCCUUGGGUCGGGAUUCCUUUGCUUUGCAGUCUACAGUAGCGCUCCCCGCUCUUGCUUAAGGUGCACCAGACGCUUCGCAAACGUUCUCUCUUUUCUUUACAACCCGUCAAGGCAGUAGUCUCCCAGUUUUACAAAUGAGCUAAACUGAUACAGGAAGAGUGUUUCUUGUACAAGGUCUCAAAUAUUGCCAAAAGGUGGACGUGAGACUGGAACGGCUUCCUACUCUUUGGGCCACAGCGGCGGCCUGCCAAGGGACUUUCUAACGAAACCGGCGCUGCCCAAGCGUCUGCACUCACGCCCAGUGCUCAUCCCACCCUGCCCCAUUCUGGAUUUGCACAUCAAGCUGCUGUCUAAAAUGUUUAAGUAGUUGAAAAAAAUGUAAUUUUCAGCAAUUGUAAAUAGUGACGCAAGUUAAAUAUAUCCAACUGAAUCGAAACACUACAGUAAUAUGGUACCCUCCAUCGUCCACCUCACACACACACACAAAAAAAACCCACAAAAAACUCUUAAAAAUCCUAAGUUUACAUCAUUACUCUUCCUUCUUAAAAUCAUCUCUCCGCCGCCCCCUCCCCGUCCCUGCCACAAAAAAUUUCUUCUUCUUGUAAGCACUCUAGUCAAGUUGGAUUAGGGCUGAACUAAAGGCCUCAUUUUGAUCUAAUUGCAUCUUUAAAGUCUCUGUCUCCGAAUAUAGUCUCAUUAUUAGUUAUUGGUGUUAGAUUUCAGUGUGUGAAUUGGGGGUGGCCGCGGCGGGGGUGAAUGCAGCCCGUAGCAGGAGUCCAAAAGUUGUUUAGCAGUUGGAAUAUCCAAUGUUAGUUUCUUUGGCAGUGAAAUUCCCUCAAAAUAUUAGUAGGUAUAUGAUCUACUUGUUUUUGUUUAAUUACACGUGUCAGUGACCACACCCAAAUUUCUUCCCUAGAAUUCUUAGACAUGCUUCAUUAAAUCAUAUCUUCAUUCUACUUUCCUGAUAGAAUUUUACCCGUUAUCUUUUUCAUACUUGAAAGUCUUAUUGAUCAUCCUAUCAUACUGCUGAAAGAAGUACAGAAAUGGAAAUUUAUAUUUCCUGCUCAUAGAAUUUUAGUUUUUCUGGAUUAAAUUGUUAAAAUUACUAGUACUACACAAUUGAUCACAAUAAAAUGUAUCACAAUACUGAUAAUUAUUAAAUAUAAAAAAUAAAAUUGUAUUGAAAAUUCAUCUCUUUAAGACCUGGAUGGGCUUCCCAUGCACCGUUAGUUCCUGUAUCCAUAGAUGAAUGCUAACUUCUUGCUACAAUGAAGUUUAACACUGAUUCUCUUCCAUUUUCUUAAGGCUGUAAGUGCUGAGAAAUAAGUACAUAGGA